This is a long non-coding RNA of Drosophila virilis, 530 nucleotides long. RefSeq lists it as uncharacterized. The record is from RefSeq and is a predicted model, not a curated record. Lineage: Eukaryota; Metazoa; Arthropoda; Insecta; Diptera; Drosophilidae.
UCACAAUUGAGUGUCAAGUGCUUGAUGCUGCCAGAUGUGCCUUGCCUAGCCAGGUGGCAACACUUGACAGCACAAUAAAUCCUAAGCGUUUCAACUAAAUGCAUUGCUCAUUUGUUGACAAAAUAUAUUCCACAGAUUAAACACACAGUCUGCGAGUCUGCUAGCCACCCACUCCUUUGCCCCACCGUUGGCACUGGCACACUUCAGGCAAUUGCAAAGUGCAACUGCAACAAUGUUGCACGCAUUGUGAUUUGAGCCAGUGGCAGCUACCAUUACGGGUCUCGAUAUGGGUUGGCUGGCUGGCCGUCUACGCCCUUUGGCGCAUGCGCAAAUUGCCAGUCAUUAUACCCUGUACCCCAAAACCAUGGGGUAACAUCUACCGUUGACAAUGUUUGUCACAGACACAAGAGGCCAACAUUCUUGUGCAUAUAUUUUAUUGAUUAAAUACUCUUAUCACUUAUUAAUGAAUGUGCGCUAGUAGCCCAGAGCUAAAAGAAAAUAAAGAUGAGAGAGUUCUCAGUUGAGAGUGA